GCUAGCAGGUUCGGCUGAGCAGCUAUAAGGGGGCGGGAGCUGCCUGGAGAGGAGGCUCCUGGUCCGCUCCAGCCGCCCCGCUCCGUCUGCACUGGGGACGCUCAGAGGUGCUGCGGUGGGGCUGUGGCCACGUGAAAAUCAAACUGGAUAUUUUUUUUAAACAGUGCAUGAGUUCUAGAAUACAGAGAGGCAGGGAAGGAUGGGCUUGUGAUUAAGGCACUGGACUGGGAGAUGGGGGUUCAGCGGCUGCUGCUCUGCAGACUUCCUGUGUGAUGGAGGAAGUCUUCUCCUUAGAGAGGAUCUGAAUGGUUGGAGCAUGCGCUGAGUCUUGUUUUGAUGGGAAGACUUGUAAUACAUCACAGAGUGGCAUACUGCUGUGUAAAAGAUACUUACUUUAAAACAUGAUUAAUAUAAUUGCAAUGACUGAUUUAGUAUUGAUGGCUCUUCAACAGAAUAAUAAACUCUUCUGCUUUUCUGGAUAAUCUGGCUAUGAUAUAUGGAGUGUGGCAGGUGCAGCACA
Gopherus evgoodei (Goodes thornscrub tortoise) is the source of this 520-nucleotide long non-coding RNA. RefSeq lists it as uncharacterized. The transcript has 3 exons. The record is from RefSeq and is a predicted model, not a curated record. Lineage: Eukaryota; Metazoa; Chordata; Testudines; Testudinidae.